Long non-coding RNA from Mercurialis annua (annual mercury), 2507 nucleotides. RefSeq lists it as uncharacterized. The transcript is spliced from 2 exons. The record is from RefSeq and is a predicted model, not a curated record. Lineage: Eukaryota; Viridiplantae; Streptophyta; Magnoliopsida; Malpighiales; Euphorbiaceae.
UCUUAAUAUAUUCCAACAAUGCUCAAAUUGAAAUUUUCCUUUGUUUAGUUCUCGAAACAAAAUUUUUUGCAUUAACAAUCUGGAAAAAAACAAGAAAUUAACAAUAUGCAACCAAAACCAAAUCUAUACAAUACUAUAAUUCUGAACUCUCAAACAAUUUCGACAAGUGGAGUCCCCUAAUUCAGACAUGUGGACUCCUAAAACUCUUCAAUUUUAAAACGUUCCCUCAUUCAUCCGAAAAGAAACGCUUGAUCCUUCAUUUCCUUUGGCUCCUUCUGGAAAGAAACGUCUCAGACGUUACAUGCCCAAGCUGUAUCACUGAAAUUGCGGAAGUAUUUAUACCAUCUUCAAUCAGAUUCAGCUUCAGCAUCCAAUAAUAAUCCCAUCUUCUAAAGCUUCUCCAUCUUCAGCCUCCGGAAUGUUAAAACAGCUGACAUGUUUACAGAAACUCUGUAUCUCGGAAACUCAGGUCAGUCUAUUUAUUUUUUAAUCUUUAAGAUUUAUGCUGUGUUUAUGUUCCAGUGUGCCUGAAUUACUAUAUAUGCACAUAAGUUGUUCGAUUAAAUGACGUUAGAGGAUUUUUACAAAAGUAUAAUUCACCUCUUGUCCUGAAUUUUAUCACUAAAUUCCAAUGGGAAAAUGGACUAAAUUUGUGCCAAUUCAAGAAUAAAGGUCCUGCACAAAAUAAAGCUUUUUAUAUGUGAUUCAUUUGGUUAUCUGGUUAGGGGACCCCAAGAAGAUGGACUUUUAUGCUUGGUUGCCGAUGACUUGGUUACCUUUACAUAGUCUUCAAGAUUUAGAUUGCUGCUCUUAGAUCAGAUUCUACCCUUGCAAGAUAAGUAAAUCAGAGUAGGAUAUUCUAUUGCUUUUAAGCUUGUUGUUCAUAUAGUGUACCACAUUUCACUGCAACCAAUUAAAAGGUACACAAAGAAAAGUAUGCCCAUUUGGUUGCCCUGUUGUAUUUCUUAGCAUAGUUUUUAUCAUUUUCUGUAAUUUAUAGUAGAUGAGGAGAAAUAUUUAGAAACAGUUUUGCAGGAAUAAUCUGUGUAGCUUGUUAGGAAGGUUAAAUACUGCAACUUGUAAAAGUUCCUUUAUAUUUAUCUUCUACACUUGGAAUUGUUGGGAUCUCAGUAUUAACAAGUUAUCAAAUGCUGAUUGUUUGUGCUGAUUUAAAUGUAUCCAUGGAAUUAAUUAACUUGCUAAACUUAUCUAUAUGUAAGAUAUUUUUUGUUUUUUGCAUUUUCUUGGUAUCUAUUGCCAGAAAUCAAGUGACACAUGGCUGUCGGAAUAUUGUUUAUCUUGAGACAUGCAUGUAGCCUCCAAAUGAUAUGGCAUAUGUUUUAUGGUUUGGGUUUCUCUAAUGUUGGCUGUAGUAUAUGCUUAUUGAUCUAAGCACUGCAAAUGUUGCAUGGGAAGAUAUUUGUGACGGUAAUUAUUGGAGUCUCAUACCAUGUUUUAGCUGUUUGCAUUUACCCAUGUGAACCAUAAGUGCACAGUUCAAUCUUGAAGGAGAGAUGCUGACGCAUACAAUUCGGUAACUCCCCAUAGGACCCUUCUUUGCAGGAGCAUUUCUAUCAAAUAUCCAUCAUCGUGGCUGUGAGUAGCUCAACCUAAUAGCGAAAAUGUGGAGUAUUAUAUUUUGUCCGUCAUCUGUAGGACUUAACUGGGAACAGAUUUUUUGGGUGUCUUAAUCAGAGUUUAAUUGUAAGCUAAUGCGAAAAAUAGAAUCUUCAACGCUAAAUAUAGCUAAUAUGUUCAUCCCUCUUUUUUGUGAAAUAAUCAUUGAGAAUUCAAAAUAUAUGUAUCCUGACUUCAAAGGCUGCACAGAUUUUCCUUAUUGAAGAGUAGCUGCUGUCAUCCUUUUUAAGCAGAUUAUGUUGUGGAAAUGUUCUGGAUGACCUUUCAUUUCAUGUCGAGGUUGGUCAGACUAGUAGGAGCGGUUGUUGAUAUUGACAGAGCAGAAGGGCAGUCAAAUGGUGUUGGGACUAGCAGCUAAGGAUGGUGGCUUCUCUCAUGUUAUUUUGGAAAGCGAUUCUCUGCAAAUGAUUAAUGCAAUCCGAAAUAAUUCUCAAUGCAUAUCGGAGAUGAAGGAAGUCAUUGUCAGAAAUUUUGAAAAGGAUUUCCGGGACCUUAGAUGACAUCAUGCCCUUAUAAAUGGGAAUCGAGUAGCUCAUGAAACUGCUAUUAGAGCAUUGAGUGAAGACACUUUCAUGUGGAGAGAAACUGUACCUGAGUUGUUGGAUUUUGUUAGGCAGGUUAUGCAUGUGAUGAAUGGUUGCUGCUGCAGAAUGAGAGGCAACAGUGGUAAUAGGAGCUGCAAUUUUUGAAUGGGUCUUCGGUAUGUUGUCUAUUAAUAAAAAACCAUUAUCAGCAUUAAAUAUACAAUCAAUUUAUGUCAAUUGCAUAAAUUAUAUAAAUAAACUACAGUCAGUAUCUUGACAUUUCAAGAAUGCAGCCAUGUAAUGUAUUACUAUAUCUUAUGAAAUGUAGUUUUCUUUUAAGUUUAA